This 635-nucleotide ribosomal RNA is filed under the name uncultured Amycolatopsis sp. RNAcentral's name for it is "bacterial SSU rRNA". It matches the Rfam family "Bacterial small subunit ribosomal RNA", at positions 221 to 866 of the family's 1533-position model. Lineage: Bacteria; Bacillati; Actinomycetota; Actinomycetes; Pseudonocardiales; Pseudonocardiaceae. The record is from RNAcentral.
CGGGAUGAACCCGCGGCCUAUCAGCUUGUUGGUGGGGUAGUGGCCCACCAAGGCGACGACGGGUAGCCGGCCUGAGAGGGUGACCGGCCACACUGGGACUGAGACACGGCCCAGACUCCUACGGGAGGCAGCAGUGGGGAAUAUUGCACAAUGGGCGCAAGCCUGAUGCAGCGACGCCGCGUGGGGGAUGACGGCCUUCGGGUUGUAAACCUCUUUCGCCAGGGACGAAGCGMRAGUGACGGUACCUGGAUAAGAAGCACCGGCUAACUACGUGCCAGCAGCCGCGGUAAUACGUAGGGUGCGAGCGUUGUCCGGAAUUAUUGGGCGUAAAGAGCUCGUAGGCGGUUUGUCGCGUCGGCCGUGAAAUCUCCACGCUUAACGUGGAGCGUGCGGUCGAUACGGGCAGACUUGAGUUCGGCAGGGGAGACUGGAAUUCCUGGUGUAGCGGUGAAAUGCGCAGAUAUCAGGAGGAACACCGGUGGCGAAGGCGGGUCUCUGGGCCGAUACUGACGCUGAGGAGCGAAAGCGUGGGGAGCGAACAGGAUUAGAUACCCUGGUAGUCCACGCUGUAAACGUUGGGCGCUAGGUGUGGGCGACAUUCCACGUUGUCCGUGCCGUAGCUAACGCAUUAAGCG